AGGACGAACGCUGGCGGCGUGCUUAACACAUGCAAGUCGAACGAUGAAGCUGGAGCUUGCUCCGGUGGAUUAGUGGCGAACGGGUGAGUAACACGUGAGCAAUCUGCCCUUGACUCUGGGAUAACUGCGGGAAACUGUAGCUAAUACCGGAUACGACACCUUGGGGCAUCCCAGGGUGUGGAAAGAAUUUCGGUCAAGGAUGAGCUCGCGGCCUAUCAGCUAGUUGGUGAGGUAAUGGCUCACCAAGGCGACGACGGGUAGCCGGCCUGAGAGGGUGACCGGCCACACUGGAACUGAGAUACGGUCCAGACUCCUACGGGAGGCAGCAGUGGGGAAUAUUGCACAAUGGGCGCAAGCCUGAUGCAGCAACGCCGCGUGAGGGAUGAAGGCCUUCGGGUUGUAAACCUCUUUUAGCAGGGAAGAAGCGAAAGUGACGGUACCUGCAGAAAAAGCACCGGCUAACUACGUG
Molecule: ribosomal RNA, 469 nt
Filed under: uncultured bacterium
Lineage: Bacteria
Description: bacterial SSU rRNA
Rfam family: Bacterial small subunit ribosomal RNA
Source: RNAcentral